GAUGAACGCUGGCGGCGUGCCUAAUACAUGCAAGUCGAGCGAACGGACGAGAAGCUUGCUUCUCUGAUGUUAGCGGCGGACGGGUGAGUAACACGUGGAUAACCUACCUAUAAGACUGGGAUAACUUCGGGAAACCGGAGCUAAUACCGGAUAAUAUUUUGAACCGCAUGGUUCAAAAGUGAAAGACGGUCUUGCUGUCACUUAUAGAUGGAUCCGCGCUGCAUUAGCUAGUUGGUAAGGUAACGGCUUACCAAGGCAACGAUGCAUAGCCGACCUGAGAGGGUGAUCGGCCACACUGGAACUGAGACACGGUCCAGACUCCUACGGGAGGCAGCAGUAGGGAAUCUUCCGCAAUGGGCGAAAGCCUGACGGAGCAACGCCGCGUGAGUGAUGAAGGUCUUCGGAUCGUAAAACUCUGUUAUUAGGGAAGAACAUAUGUGUGAGUAACUGUGCACAUCUUGACGGUACCUAAACAGAAAGCCACGGCUAACUACGUG
Molecule: ribosomal RNA, 497 nt
Filed under: uncultured bacterium
Lineage: Bacteria
Description: partial 16S ribosomal RNA
Rfam family: Bacterial small subunit ribosomal RNA
Source: RNAcentral